This 85-nucleotide transfer RNA is filed under the name Zoogloeaceae bacterium. Its description in RNAcentral is "tRNA-Leu". It matches the Rfam family "tRNA". Rfam says of the family: Transfer RNA (tRNA) molecules are approximately 80 nucleotides in length. Their secondary structure includes four short double-helical elements and three loops (D, anti-codon, and T loops). Further hydrogen bonds mediate the characteristic L-shaped molecular structure. tRNAs have two regions of fundamental functional importance: the anti-codon, which is responsible for specific mRNA codon recognition, and the 3' end, to which the tRNAs corresponding amino acid is attached (by aminoacyl-tRNA synthetases). tRNAs cope with the degeneracy of the genetic code in two manners: having more than one tRNA (with a specific anti-codon) for a particular amino acid; and 'wobble' base-pairing, i.e. permitting non-standard base-pairing at the 3rd anti-codon position. The record is from RNAcentral. Lineage: Bacteria; Pseudomonadati; Pseudomonadota; Betaproteobacteria; Rhodocyclales; Zoogloeaceae.
GCCGGGAUGGCGGAAUCGGUAGACGCAGCGGACUCAAAAUCCGCCGCCGCAAGGCGUGAGGGUUCGAGUCCCUCUCCCGGCACCA